Molecule: long non-coding RNA, 1228 nt
Filed under: Homo sapiens (human)
Lineage: Eukaryota; Metazoa; Chordata; Mammalia; Primates; Hominidae
Description: non-protein coding MIR3681HG:12
Source: RNAcentral
AUCUUUUUGACAUAAUUUUUGCAUUGGUCUCAUAUGGUCGUAUGGUCAUUGCUUUCCUUCUUAACUUUCUGAACAGAGGCUGUUGCAAUUAGGAUGGCGAAUGGUGAAAAACAGUGUGGUUGAAUUGAACAUAAGCUGAAGGGCUAGACAUCAUGGCUUCAAUCCUUGUGGAGGUAAGAGAGCUGGGACAUCAGACAAAUGACUUGUGAAUUGCCACCUCCUGCAAAUCCUGUGGCCUAUGAUCUGGACCAAAUCACAUCCAAGUGUCUGAUCAGUUCUGAGAGUGGUUGUGGAUGACCUUAGUAUUCCAGAAGACUGGCUCUGAACGCACACUAGUGCAUCCACAAUGGGACAUCCAUGUGUAAAAAGGAGUGAGGAGCUGGGAUUCUUCAGUGGCCUCCAGCUUUCAUUCCAUACAGGAAUGGGCUCGUUCAUAUGCCUCUGAGAGAGUCAGCUUGGAGACAGGCAAGUCUGGGUUCAAAUCCUGGGUCCAUCCCUAGAUGGUUGAGUGUGGUUCCUUUAUCCUUUAUAACAGGGCCAAUACAUACUUCACUUGGCCUUUGUGAGGACUGGGGGACUGUCCACCUAAGGCAAAAUAAAGACAUCAUUUAUUCACAGUCUUCCUUAGUGAUGCACACAUGUGGCCUGAGAACUAACAUUGAUCUUAGCCUUAGGAUCCCUUCGUUCUACCACUGACAUUAACCCCCAUGUGAUCUUGUGCAUGUCAGUUUCCCUCUCUGAGUUUGAUUGACCCUUUAGUGAGAUUAAUCAAAAUUGAUCUCCAAGUCACUUUCAGCUUUAAAAAAUGCAAAGCUCUACAAAUCAUUCUGAUAUUGGCCCCAAAACCACCUCUUGGCACCUCCUUUGCUUCUCUGCAGUUUUAGGAUCCCCUUGUCUGAUUUCUUAUUCAACUCUGUAAGAUCAUAUCACCAGUCUAGCAACAUCCUGUCCCAUGCCAUUUUAUAAUUUCCUGUUUAAUUGCCUGUUUUGUACCCCUAGACUGUGAAUUACCUGAUGGCAGCAACUGUGUUUCAUUUGCCAUAGUGUUCCAAGUGUUUUGUCAAGGGCUUAAAACAUAGUCAUUGUUCAUUAAAUGCUUUUGUGGAUUAGGAUUAUUAAUUUAUUUACCACAACAUUAUUGAACAUACCUGUUGGCAACUAUAUUCUCUCUUCUAUGGGCAUUGAAAAUAGAGGAUUUCUUAAGUAUUUCUAAUGAUAUGAUUUCAGG